GCUUAAAUAGUUUAAUUAGAAUAAUAAUUUGUGGUGUUAUUGGUACAUUUUUGUUUUAAGUC
RNAcentral lists this transfer RNA (62 nucleotides) under Helcomeria spinosa. Its description in RNAcentral is "tRNA-His". Lineage: Eukaryota; Metazoa; Arthropoda; Insecta; Hemiptera; Coreidae. The record is from RNAcentral.